RNAcentral lists this non-coding RNA (138 nucleotides) under Candidatus Pseudogracilibacillus intestinigallinarum. RNAcentral's name for it is "FMN riboswitch (RFN element)". It matches the Rfam family "FMN riboswitch aptamer (RFN element)". From Rfam's summary of the family: The RFN element is a highly conserved domain that is found frequently in the 5'-untranslated regions of prokaryotic mRNAs that encode for flavin mononucleotide (FMN) biosynthesis and transport proteins. This element is a metabolite-dependent riboswitch that directly binds FMN in the absence of proteins. In Bacillus subtilis, the riboswitch most likely controls gene expression by causing premature transcription termination within the 5' untranslated region of the ribDEAHT operon and precluding access to the ribosome-binding site of ypaA mRNA. Lineage: Bacteria; Bacillati; Bacillota; Bacilli; Caryophanales; Bacillaceae. The record is from RNAcentral.
UUUCUUCGGGGUCGGGUGAAAUUCCCAGCCGGCGGUGAUGAGGUGAGCCUCUCAGUCCGCAACCCGUUUUAUCAAGCAUAAAACGGUGGAUUUGGUGCAAGUCCAAAGCCGACAGUGAAAGUCUGGAUGGGAGAAGAA